ACUAACAAGGAUUCCCCUAGUAACGGCGAGUGAAGCGGGAUGAGCUCAAAUUUAAAAUCUGGUAGUCUUCGAUUGCCCGAGUUGUAAUUUCGAGAAGCGUUUUCCGCGGCGGCCUGUGUACAAGUCCCUUGGAAUAGGGCGUCAUAGAGGGUGAGAGUCCCGUCCUUGACACAGAUACCCGUUGCUUUGUGAUACGCUCUCCAUGAGUCGAGUUGUUUGGGAAUGCAGCUCAAAAUGGGUGGUAAAUUCCAUCUAAAGCUAAAUAUUGGCGAGAGACCGAUAGCGAACAAGUACCGUGAGGGAAAGAUGAAAAGCACUUUGGAAAGAGAGUCAAACAGUACGUGAAAUUGUUGAAAGGGAAACGAUUGAAGUCAGUCGUGCUUGCCUUGAUUCAGCCGGCCCUGUGCCGGUGUAUUUCUUGGUUGGCAGGUCAGCAUCACUUUGGCAGAGUUGACAAGGGCGGUAGAAAUGUGGCAUCCUCGGAUGUGUUAUAGUCUCCUGUCGCAUCGGCUUUGCUGGAGUGAGGAACGCAGUGCGCCCGCAAGGGUUGGUCCUCGGACACAUUCGCACUUAGGAUGCUGGCGUAAUGGCUUUAAACGA
This 600-nucleotide ribosomal RNA is filed under the name Cystofilobasidium sp. CLIB 3011. RNAcentral's name for it is "eukaryotic LSU rRNA". It matches the Rfam family "Eukaryotic large subunit ribosomal RNA", at positions 64 to 647 of the family's 3401-position model. The record is from RNAcentral. Lineage: Eukaryota; Fungi; Basidiomycota; Tremellomycetes; Cystofilobasidiales; Cystofilobasidiaceae.